This 406-nucleotide ribosomal RNA is filed under the name uncultured bacterium. RNAcentral's name for it is "partial 16S ribosomal RNA". It matches the Rfam family "Bacterial small subunit ribosomal RNA", at positions 30 to 526 of the family's 1533-position model. The record is from RNAcentral.
AUUGAACGCUGGCGGCAGGCCUAACACAUGCAAGUCGAACGAGUGGCGGACGGGUGAGUAAUGUCUGUGAAACUGCCUGAUGGAGGGGUAUCACUACUGGAAACGGUAGCUAAUACCGCAUACCAUCAGAUGUGCCCAGCUGUGAUUAGCUAGUUGGUGGGGUAACGGCUCACCAGGGCGACGAUCCAUAGCUGGUCUGAGAGGAUGACCAGCCACACGGGAACGGAGACACGGUCCAGAGUCCUACGGGGGGCAGCAGUGGGGAAUAUUGCACAAUGGGCGCAAGCCGGAUCCAGCCAUGCCGCGUGUUUGAAGAAGGCCUUCGGGUUGUAAAGCACUUUCAGCGGGGAGGCGUUACCCGCAGAAGAAGCACCGGCUAACUCCGUGCCAGCAGCCGCGGUAAUAC